Molecule: ribosomal RNA, 206 nt
Filed under: uncultured bacterium
Lineage: Bacteria
Description: partial 16S ribosomal RNA
Rfam family: Bacterial small subunit ribosomal RNA
Source: RNAcentral
CACGUAGGCGGCUUGGUAUGUCGGGUGUGAAAUCCCCGGGCUCAACCUGGGAACUGCAUCCGAAACUGCCUUGCUCGAGUAUGGGAGAGGGGAGUGGAAUUUCCGGUGUAGCGGUGAAAUGCGUAGAUAUCGGAAGGAACAUCAGUGGCGAAGGCGACUUCCUGGACCAAUACUGACGCUCAGUGCGAAAGCGUGGGGAGCAAACA